This 274-nucleotide ribosomal RNA is filed under the name uncultured bacterium. RNAcentral describes it as "partial 16S ribosomal RNA". It matches the Rfam family "Bacterial small subunit ribosomal RNA", at positions 523 to 796 of the family's 1533-position model. The record is from RNAcentral.
AUACGUAGGGGGCAAGCGUUGUCCGGAUUUACUGGGUAUAAAGGGAGCGUAGGCGGAUUCGUAAGUCAGGGGUGAAAUCCUACAGCUUAACUGUAGAACUGCCUUUGAUACUGCGGGUCUUGAGAUCGGAAGAGAGAGAUGGAAUUCCAGGUGUAGUGGUGAAAUACGUAGAUAUCUGGAAGAACACCAAUGGCGAAGGCAGUCUCUUGGUCCGUAUCUGACGCUGAGGCUCGAAAGCGUGGGGAGCAAACAGGAUUAGAAACCCCUGUAGUCC